RNAcentral lists this long non-coding RNA (454 nucleotides) under Rosa chinensis. Its description in RNAcentral is "sRNA RchiOBHm_Chr5g0058091". The record is from RNAcentral. Lineage: Eukaryota; Viridiplantae; Streptophyta; Magnoliopsida; Rosales; Rosaceae.
UUUAUAUAUUGUUUAUAAUCAACAUGCAUUUAUGCAGAGUGGAUUUAGAUUAUAGCAGCACUCACAGUUCUUAUUUUAGUAUCCGUUUGAUAAUCUCAAACCAUUUUAUGGCUCCACUUUUUCUAAUUUUUGGUUGUACACAAUGAGACAUGGUAGUUAAUUAACUGUUAUAAUUGUCUGUUGGAUCAUUGUAUGGAAUUGAUCAAAGGUCUUUUGCUGUUAUUAGCUGAGUUGAUUGAAUGAGUUGCGAGAAAAAGAUUGGUUCUUCUGGGUAAGUAAAACUCCUUUGCUGACAAAGUCAGAUAUCACCAGAUAUUUGAGGGAUUGUGAAUAUGAAACAAACUUAGUCCUCUGCUGCAUCUUCUUCUGCUUUACCAAGCCUUUUCUCUACUCUUUUCCCAGCUUUCCAUCACCUGGGUAUGUACCUUCCACUAUAAAUAAUUGCUUCAUAGGC